GUCUACAACCAGUUUACCCUGAACAAGCCCAAUCCCAUCUGAUCUUGGAAGCAAGCAGGGUUGGGCCUGGUUAGUACUUGGAUGGGAGACCACCUAGGAAGACCAGGUGCUGUAGGCG
RNAcentral lists this ribosomal RNA (118 nucleotides) under Pteropus alecto (black flying fox). RNAcentral also lists the same sequence under 1 other name. Lineage: Eukaryota; Metazoa; Chordata; Mammalia; Chiroptera; Pteropodidae. The record is from RNAcentral.